CUUCUUUUCUUCAUCUUCUUCCUUCUACCACUUCUUCACAUUCAUACCAAAUUCAUCAACAUUCAUACAAUAACUAGAAAAAAAAUCCAAAAAUAUAAAUAAAAAUCAACAUUUAUCAAACAUAUAAAACUCAUAUCAACAUCAAAUCAUCAUCCCUUCAACAAAUAAAUAAAAUCAAUACCUUUAUAUAUCAACUUAGUAGAAUUCAAUAUAACAAAUAAAACUCAGUACCUCACAACAAUUAAGAGAACAAAUCAAAAAAGAAAAGGAAAACGUGAAGAAAAUAAGAGAUAGAAACAGAGUUGUUGUGCUACACGUAGGCAACGAUUGCCUUGCCGGAAACAACGACGACGACAGAGACGAUGAUGAGAGGGAGAAGAGUUGCGAAGGUGAUGGAAAAGGGGUUAGGGUUCUGAAAGGGGUUAGGAUCUGCGGCGGCUUGCGGUGCUCAACGAAGUUGUGGUUGCUGCGAUUUCAUGGCAGUGGAAAAACUCGGUCUCUUUCACAGUUUCAACUUUUUAGUGAGUUUGAUUCCUUAGAGUUUGGAUUUGGUAUAAAACAAUUCCUGAAUCCUGAGUUUGAAACAAACGAUUCAUUUGAGUUUGAGUUUCAAAAUUUUGCAUAAUACAUUUAAAAUGAUUCCUUUAAUAUUGGGUUUGGUAAUCUUGCUUCCUUAUUUGUACAUGGAAUUUAAUUAUUAUUUUUUUGGAUUUUAAUUUUUUAUUUUUGGAUUUAUGUGAUAAAGGAGAUGAAGGUGAUUGUUGAUGUUAUUUUUGCUUAUUAUUGAAUUUUGAAUUUUGCUUACUGAUGUUGCUGCAACUGUUGUUAUUGUUGGAAUUGAGAUUGUAGUAUUGUUACUGUUGUUGCUGCAACUGUUGAUUAUGAAUAAGUUUUAAUUUUCUGGUUUUUUUCUUUCAAAAUGAUGAAUAAAAAUGAAAGUUUUAAUUGGGGAUGAAGAAGAACAUAGGGAAGAAGAUGGAGGAAAAAAUUCGGUGUUUGUGGUUCGUUAUAAGCUACAAUAG
This 1022-nucleotide long non-coding RNA is filed under the name Medicago truncatula (barrel medic). RNAcentral's name for it is "lncRNA gene49338". Lineage: Eukaryota; Viridiplantae; Streptophyta; Magnoliopsida; Fabales; Fabaceae. The record is from RNAcentral.